AUAGCUCUCGAUCACUGGGCUCUGAUUUUCAUCAUUUCGAGAGGUUUUUUCAAGCUCUGUGGAGCUUGCUGGCUUACCUCUGUUGAGUACCCCUUCUUGGCAUACCAAAUCUGUUGCGGCCAAUCCCCCUCGUCGUCCGAUCGUCGGUAUCGUGUACCUGCAAGAAAAAUCCUCACAGACCGGAGAUGCCUCCGGUGGGGACCCUCCG
RNAcentral lists this long non-coding RNA (208 nucleotides) under Elaeis guineensis (African oil palm). Its description in RNAcentral is "long non-coding RNA (EGUI_LNC043059)". Lineage: Eukaryota; Viridiplantae; Streptophyta; Magnoliopsida; Arecales; Arecaceae. The record is from RNAcentral.